Ribosomal RNA from Cavia aperea (Brazilian guinea pig), 110 nucleotides. NCBI's taxonomy places the organism in Eukaryota, Metazoa, Chordata, Mammalia, Rodentia, Caviidae. The record is from Ensembl.
GUUUAUGGCCAUACCACCCUGAACGCCCCUGAUCUCGUCUGAUCUUGGAAGCUAAGCAGGGUCGGGGCCUGGUUAGUACUUGGAUGGGAGAAACCCAAAUGUUAUGGUCU